GACGAACGCUGGCGGCGUGCUUAACACAUGCAAGUCGAACGGAAAGGCCCUGCUUUUGUGGGGUGCUCGAGUGGCGAACGGGUGAGUAACACGUGAGUAACCUGCCCUUGACUUUGGGAUAACUUCAGGAAACUGGGGCUAAUACCGGAUAGGAGCUCCUGCUGCAUGGUGGGGGUUGGAAAGUUUCGGCGGUUGGGGAUGGACUCGCGGCUUAUCAGCUUGUUGGUGGGGUAGUGGCUUACCAAGGCUUUGACGGGUAGCCGGCCUGAGAGGGUGACCGGCCACAUUGGGACUGAGAUACGGCACAGACUCCUACGGGGGGCAGCAGUGGGGAAUAUUGCACAAUGGGCGGAAGCCUGAUGCAGCAACGCCGCGUGCGGGAUGACGGCCUUCGGGUUGUAAACCGCUUUCGCCUGUGACGAAGCGUGAGUGACGGUAAUGGGUAAAGAAGCACCGGCUAACUACGUG
Molecule: ribosomal RNA, 468 nt
Filed under: uncultured bacterium
Lineage: Bacteria
Description: partial 16S ribosomal RNA
Rfam family: Bacterial small subunit ribosomal RNA
Source: RNAcentral